CAAUUUUGGUGGAAAAUUUUUGAUAUUUUGAGCGACAAUAAAAAAAAAAGGUAUUAAUUUUUUUUAUCCUUUUUUCUGUUUAUCAUCUCUCUCUCUCAAAAUAGGGUAUUAAUUUGUCUUACCUCUUGCUCCUCUACCACGCCGAUCGCCCAUCGUCGCCUCUAUUAGUCUUGUCGAUCGUCACCGCCAGUAGUAGCCUUGCCGGUAACCGCCACAUCUUCUUCGCUUGAUGAUUUGCCACAUUGUGCACCAAACCUGUUCGACGAAAGUCCUCUCUGAAAAUUCUUUACUAUCUAUCUAGUUUGGGAGCUUUUUAAAGAUGUAUGUUGUGAAAGGAGAUGGGCGUCAAGAGACUCUACAUUUCGACAAGAUCAUUGCUCGUUUCAAGUAGCUCAAGGGCGUCACCACCAGUUGUUGCAUUCUCUGCAUGUGAUGCAUUUGAUCUAGUAGUCGUCUAAAUGAUAGUAGGAAGAGCUUGCAGGGAUUAUUAAAUUGUCGGCAUAUUCUAGCUUCAGUCUGUUUGAGUGUCGGAAGGUUGUUGCUGGUUCUAAAUCACCUGAAAUUGGAAAUGGUAUUUGUUUUACCUGAGUUCCU
This is a non-coding RNA of Camellia sinensis, 594 nucleotides long. Lineage: Eukaryota; Viridiplantae; Streptophyta; Magnoliopsida; Ericales; Theaceae. The record is from RefSeq and is a predicted model, not a curated record.